AUUGAACGCUGGCGGCAGGCCUAACACAUGCAAGUCGAACGAGUGGCGGACGGGUGAGUAAUGUCUGGGCAACUGCCCGAUGGAGGGGGAUAACUACUGGAAACGGUAGAUAAUACCGCAUACAAUCGGAUAGACCCAGAUGGGAUUAGCUAGUAGGUGGGGUAACGGCUCACCUAGGCGACGAUCCCUAGCUGGUCGGAGAGGAUGACCAGCCACACUGGAACUGAGACACGGUCCAGACUCCUACGGGAGGCAGCAGUGGGGAAUAGUGCACAAUGGGCGCAAGCCUGAUGCAGCCAUGCCGCGUGUAUGAAGAAGGCCUUCGGGUUGUAAAGUACUUUCAGCGGGGAGGCGUUACCCGCAGAAGAAGCACCGGCUAACUCCGUGCCAGCCGCCGCGGUAAUAC
This 406-nucleotide ribosomal RNA is filed under the name uncultured bacterium. Its description in RNAcentral is "partial 16S ribosomal RNA". It matches the Rfam family "Bacterial small subunit ribosomal RNA", at positions 30 to 526 of the family's 1533-position model. The record is from RNAcentral.